RNAcentral lists this small RNA (29 nucleotides) under Bombyx mori (domestic silkworm). Its description in RNAcentral is "ovarian small RNA-8498". The record is from RNAcentral. Lineage: Eukaryota; Metazoa; Arthropoda; Insecta; Lepidoptera; Bombycidae.
UGCAGAUUGUCCUUGAGGCUGACGCAAGC